AAAACCCCUGCCUGUACUGAGACGUCAACAUGGUCUUUGUACCGAGAGUCUGCCAUCUUCUCAAGCUCGUGGCCCUUGAAUAAACCUGCUUUACUUCCACAAGCCUCUGUUUCCUGACUAUAUACUUCCGUCAGCAGGCAGCCAAACCUGGGUUUGAUACCAGUAUCAACUAAAAGCAUGAAGAACCGUUAACCAGCCAAGUAAAGGGCAUACUUUCAUUACUUUAGAAAGAGAGGAAGGAAGAAAGUAAAAGAGAAACAUUGAUUCAAAGGAGAAGCAUCAAUUUGUUGCCUCUUAUAUGCACCGGACAGAUGAUCGGCACCUGGACUGGGGGUCGCACGUGCCUGCACCCUGACAAAGGAUUGAGCAUGUGACCUAGGGGAAAGAGCAAACGCAGUCUCCCACUACCACAAAUUAUGCAGCCGACUUUCCCACGGUUGGGGAAAUCGCAGGGGCCGGCACACGCAGGGUGCAGGAGUGGGCCUCGCCCUGGGAGAACCACCUUCAACACCACAGCACCUCCCCUGCCAGGUUUGAAAUUGCAUGAUGACUAGAAAGAACAGUUGGAAGUGAAAAUAACACCUUAUCGUAACAAAAAUAUUUGAAAACUGUGUCUUGGGCUUGCAGAUAUCUUCAAAUUAAAAUUAUAUGCCCUAUCAUUGGCUAUAAGUGUUUGGUGACUAUAACUUGUAAAAUUAGUGCUCAGAACUGCAAAAUUCCUUGCAGAAGACAGAUUACAAAGAGAAUCAG
Pteronotus mesoamericanus is the source of this 750-nucleotide long non-coding RNA. RefSeq lists it as uncharacterized. Lineage: Eukaryota; Metazoa; Chordata; Mammalia; Chiroptera; Mormoopidae. The record is from RefSeq and is a predicted model, not a curated record. The transcript has 4 exons.